Molecule: long non-coding RNA, 5553 nt
Filed under: Octopus vulgaris (common octopus)
Lineage: Eukaryota; Metazoa; Mollusca; Cephalopoda; Octopoda; Octopodidae
Source: RNAcentral
CAGGCAAACGGAUUAAGUCGAUUAUAUCGACUCCAGUGCGUACUUAUUUAAUCGACUCCGAAAGGAUGAAAAGCAAAGUCGACCUUGGCGGAAUUUCAACUCAGAACGUAACAGCAGACGAAAUACUGCUAUGCAUUUUAUCCGGCGUGCUAACGAUUCUGCCAGCUUGCCGCCUUAUAUGAUCCCUAAGUACUAGUUGAGCACUGGGUUCGAUGCAGGCGACUAACCCCUCCCACCACAGAAUUACAUGUCGUACGCUUAUAUUUAAUUAGGAGUUUUAUUACAAGGGGGACUGUUCUUUAGUAAACACCGGUUAUGCCUGCCAACAACCAUGCCGAUGGUUUGUGGUGUAAAUAUUUUAUGUCGCCGUCUCUUCACACCCACCAGUCAACGAUGGACCCUUCAUUCCGUAAAGGUAUAUUUCUUUAAUGCUUUUUACUGUAUGAUCCCGAAUCAAUUUAUGGUUUACAUAUUUCUGACAGCGAUGCUAUUUACAGUUUUAGUUCCCCGACUAAGGUCUUGGAGAUCAUAAUUAGGCGACUUUGCUUCGAUGCUCGAUUGUAGUUAAUUAGCAUUAACAUUAAUUAAGCCGUUGAUGGCACUGAGAAAUGUAUGAACGUCACACCUUCACAUCUAUAAUUCCAUGCCGCAUGUCUGUGAAUAUACGAAGAUUCAUUCUCUCUCCUCUGUCCCAAUCCAGAAGGUUAAACUCGCAUUUUCAGUCCAUGGCCUUUAAACUAUAGUGUUUUGACCCGGGCCGGAAAAAACUAAAAAAACUACUUGUUCUAAACACACACACAAAGAGAAAUGGUUGGUUCAAGGCAAGUGUGAAUUGAACUGAAUUUAAAUAAGCAAGAAAGAUAUUAUCAAAGAAAAGGCCAUAGCACCAUCUUUAAUAUGUUGUUGUUAUUAUUAUUAUGGAGUUGAAUGUGUGUGUGGUGAAGUUAUUAAUAUCAAUACCAAUACAUUACCCAACACCAUUGAAGUGAAAUAAUAGUUUCUAUACGAUCCUUCGGUAUAAGUACACACGUGACUUUGUUUACAUUUCUGAAGAUAACAGAAACACUUUUCUCCCACCCCUAAUCCUAACCCUAACCCCCCCCCCCAUAUAUAUAUAUAUAUAUAUAUAUAUAUAUAUAUAUAUAUAUAUAUAUAUAUAAAGCACUUUCUUGAAAUGUAUCCGGUACUUACACCGAAGUUACGCCCUAUACUUUUGGUUUGGCACUACUGAAUUGAGUCAAAGACUAUAUAAUACAAGUCAGCAGAAAAAAAAAAUGCGAUAUCCAUAACAGUAAAGAAAUAAGACCUCCCCCAAGCAGUUACCCUUGUGUUUAAAAUCUCCCUAACAAAAAGAAGAGAGGUUUUUGGCUAUGGACUACAUUGAUCUUUCCAAGUUGUGGUUUAGCCACUAUUUACACUAUUUUUUUUUGUUUAUUUUUGUGCCCGAGUCAGACGCUUUCAGAAAUUCACAAUGUGAAUUUUCCGAGUCCUCUCCUCCACCCCCUUUCGCGAGCGCGCAUCUUUUUUUGUCAUAUUCGUUUAGAGCAAGUUGUUUUUCACCACUUCACAACCAGUGUUGUUUUGUUUGUCUCCUUAACUCAGUGGUUCGGCAAAAAGAGACCAAAACAAUAAGUACUAAACUUAUUAAGUACUGGGGUCAAAAUUGCUAGCCUUGUGCUUAUAGUAGAAAUCAUCAUCAUCAUCAUCAUCAUUAUUAUUAUUAUUAUUAUAUCGAAAAGUGGCGAAUUGGCUGAUGAAAAAUGCUUUAUUCUUUUGCUCUUUUACACGGUUCAGUCAUUUGACUGUGGCCACGCUGGGGCACUGUCUUUAAUCGAACAAAUUGACCUCAGGAUUUAUUCUUUGUAAGCCUAGUACUUAUUCUACCGUUCGCUUUUGAUGAACCACUAAGUUACAGGACGUAAACACACCAACAUCAGUUGCCAAGCGAUGGUGGAGGUACAAACACAGAUACACAAAUACAUACAUACACACACACAUUUAUGUGUGUGUGUGUGUGUGUAUAUAUAUAUAUAUAUAUAUAUAUAUAUAUAAUAUAAUAAUAAUGAUAAUAAUAAUAAUAAUCUGUCUAUAAAUCCACUCACAAGGCUUUGGUUGGUUUGAGGCUCUACUAGAAGAUACUUGCCCAAGGUGCCAUGCAGUGGGACUGAACUCGGAACCAUGAGGCUGAGAAGCAAGCUUCUUAUCACACGGCCACACUUAUGGCAUUUUUUUUCUAAAUUUAUGCUCUGAGUUCAAAUGCUACCAGAGUUAACUUUUCCUUCCAUUCAGGGUCAAUAAAAUAAGUACAAGUUGAGGACUGGUCAGUGCUAUGAACUUACGCUCGCUUCCAAAAUUUCAAGCCUUGUGCAUGGGUAAUACAAUGGAUUAUUAUUAUUUCUUGUCUAUCAUACUGCUGCCAACUUGGAUGGCUGGUCCCUCUGUUAGGAUCACAGUAAGAAGAUCUCCUCUCAGGCGUACUCCACAUCUAACAACCUGUAAUGGUGGCACUUUUAUGCCCCAUUCCAGGCUUAGUUUUUGGCUUUUAUGACUGUUUAAUUCACUGUUCCACCACCAUGUCAACCUUGGUCUGGCUAAAACUUUGCUCCAGCUACAGAUUUGGUUUUUAACAGUCAGGCAGGAGCAGUAAAUCUGUGGGGGAGCAUCAACAUCAUUUUGAGAGGUUCUGUUAUAUUUUUUAUUAUUAUUAUUAUUGAAAAAGGAGGAGCUGGCAGAAUCGCUAGCAAUCUUUAUUGAACGAAAUGCUUGAGCAGUAUUUCGCUCAUCACUACGUUCUGAGUUCAAAUUCUGCCGGGGUCGACUUUGCCUUACACUGGGGUUGAUGUAAUCAACUCAUCCCCACCCUUGUGGCAAAAUUUGAAACCAUUAUUAUUAUUAUUGAAACUUGCAAGAAAAGUCCCAUCCUGUAUUUUGCGAGGGUCCUAAGUAAAAUUCUUGAGAUUGAAGCCUGGGGAGACUUGUUAUCACCAAUUCUCAAGAUAACCCAUUCCUGUUAUGUAAUAUAGCGUGGAAUAGUUAUAUAAUAAUAAAUGUCUCCAAUAUAGUCUCAGGGCCUGAAAUUUAGAGGAGAGUAGUUGAUGCCAUCAACCCAGUACCUGAGUUUAACUUCAUUUUAUUGAAUCCAGUUGGAAGAAUAGCAUAGUUGGCUUUGGCAGGACUUGAACUCAGAAUAAGUCAGAAGUAAUACCACAAGGCAUUUUGUCCAGUGCUCUAAUAAUUCCUCCAAGCCACCACCCAACAAUGAUGAUGAUAAUAAUCCUUUCCAAUAAAAGGAACAAGGUUUGAAAUUUGACAAUGGCUGGUAAGCUGAAAGGCUGCUUGAUUGUUGACCCUGGUGCUCAACUGGUAUUUAUUUUAUUAUCACUAACCAUUCCAAGAUAAAGUUAACUUCAGUGGGAUAAUAAUAAUAAUAAUGGUAAUAAUAAUAACAAUAAAAAUUAAAAAUGGCCUGAUGAAGCAGCAGGCAAUGGCUCUCAUGGUUUCUAAAUUGAGUGAUCAGAAGUGUUAUGCACAUUGUUUGGUCUUGGUAUAAAAGAUGGGCUACAACAAAUAUUCUGCUCAAUACCACAGAUUUGCUUGUCAGUUGCUGGACCAUAACCAUUUGAACAUGUCUCUUACUGGCUGACGAUAUGUGCAUCUUUGAUCAUCAUCAUCAUUAUCGUUUAAUGUCUGCUUUCCAUGCUGGCAUGGGUUGGACGGUUUGACUGGGGACUGGCAAGCCAUGACGCUGCACCAGGUGCCAGUCUGAUCUGGAGACAGGUUUCUACAGCUGGAUGCCCUUCCUAACACCAACCACUGAGAGUGUAGUGGGUGCUUUUUAUGUGCCACCAGUAGGGGAGCCAGUUGGGGUAGGGGGGCUGCCAUCGACCUCAUUCGGAUGGUGCUGUUUAUGUGCCACUGGCAUGGGGAGCCAGUCAGUCAGGAGCAGAAAUAGUGGGGGAGCAUCAUAGCCAUAUGUUGAGAGGAAAAUUCUUUGGAGUGGUGAUUGACACAGAUGGUAGAGUUUUGGACAACAUGGGUGCAUCAUCCUUAACCAAUCUUUAUUCAGGAACCUUUUGAGGAGGAUGGGCUGCUCAACAUGAACAAAAUUCUAACUGGGCCCCACCUGCAAAGUCAUGUGCUCUUCAUCUUGAUAUGAGGUCACCAUAUUGCACACAUAUGUUUGUGAUGCAUGUGCCUGGUGUACCCUUAUCAGAUGGGUAGUCAUGAUGGGUGUGUAUUGGGUUUUGUAUAUUUGUACCCAGGCAUCAAUUUGGUGGCAUAUGCUAAUCUCUCAUUCACUUAUUUUAUUGACCCCCAAAAAUGAAAGGCACAGUUGACCUUGGCAGAAUUUGAACUCAGACCAUGAAGAUGGAUGAAAUACUGAUAAACAUUUUGCCCAACAUGGAAAUGACUCUGCCAGCUUGCCACCUUAGGAAUAAUAAUAAUAAUUUCCUAAUGCCAACCAUUCCGAGAGUGUAGUGGGUGCUUUUUAUGUACCACUGGCACGGGAGCCAAUCAGAUGGCACUGGCAACGUGCUGCCUGACUGGCUCCUGUGCUGGUAUCACGUAAAAAAACACCAUCCGAACAUGGCUGAUGCCAGUGCCACCACCCCAACUGCUGCUGUGCCAGUAACACAUAAAAAACACCAUCCGAAUGUGGCCAAUGCCAGUGUCACCACCCUGACUGGCUCCUGUGCUGGUGGCACGUAAAAACCACCAUCCGAACGUGGCCGAUGCAAGUGCCGCCUGACUGGCUCUCGUGCUGGUGGCACGUAAAAAGCACCCACUACACUCUUGGAGUAGCUGGCAUUACGAAGGGCAUUCAGCUGUAGGAACAUUGCCAGAUCAGAUUGAAGCCUGGUGCGACCUCCUGGCUCGCCAGUCCCCAGUCAAACCGUCCAACCCAUGCCAGCAUCGAAAAUGGAUGUUAAACGAUGAUGAUGAUUACCAAAAGCAGUUGUGCAUCAGAGUAGAUUUCUUAGUGUAAUUAAUUUCGUCUUUACAAAUUCUAGGUUCAAAUCCCCGCAAAGGUCAACCUCCUGGGGUCGAUAAAAUGCAUCAAUCAUCUCUAAGGGUUAAUAUAAUUGAUUACAUCUCUUCUACAAAUUUGUUCCAUUGUCAUCAUCAUCAUCUUUUAACAUCCAUUGUCCAUGCUGGUAUGGGUUGGACAGUUUGACCAGGGCUGGUAAGUUGAAAGGCUGCACAAGACUUCAGUCUGAUUUGGCAUGGUUUCUAUGGCUGGUUGUCCUCUCUAAUGCCAACCAUUCCAAGAGUGUAAUGGGUGUAGCCUUGAAAUGAUAAUUACAUAAUAAUUAUAAUUAGUAAAUUAUUACCGUAACACAUACUAAUGAUGUUGAUGGUUAAUGAGAUGUAAGCUUGUGUAAAUUCUAAUUCUUAUUUCUUUUUUGUUUUCUUCUUUUUUUUUUUAUAUUUUCAGUUGCGGUUUAUAUCUCCUGAAGCGACUUCAUCUUUGAUAAAGCUUUCAGAGCAUAGACAGAGGAGACCCAUAAAAAGCAGAGAAGAUUAGCCGAGCCAUGCUUGCCUAUAUCGAAG